This 192-nucleotide unclassified non-coding RNA is filed under the name soil metagenome. Its description in RNAcentral is "partial internal transcribed spacer 1". The record is from RNAcentral.
GUGGUUUUUUGGCAGCGCUGUUGUAGUGUAUGGUGGAGGUGUUGGGUGUGUGUUGUGUGUUCUGCUGUGUCUGUUGUUGACUUGGUCUUGCCUUGGUCUUGGCACAGCAGCGGACGACGAACACUCGGACCAGACCCAACAGACCUCGCCAGAUAGACGUCUUUGCUUGCUUUGAUGAAACCAAAUCAAAAA